AUAAUGGGUCAGCGACUUAUAUUCUGUAGCAAGGUUAACCGAAUAGGGGAGCCGAAGGGAAACCGAGUCUUAACUGGGCGUUAAGUUGCAGGGUAUAGACCCGAAACCCGGUGAUCUAGCCAUGGGCAGGUUGAAGGUUGGGUAACACUAACUGGAGGACCGAACCGACUAAUGUUGAAAAAUUAGCGGAUGACUUGUGGCUGGGGGUGAAAGGCCAAUCAAACCGGGAGAUAGCUGGUUCUCCCCGAAAGCUAUUUAGGUAGCGCCUCGUGAAUUCAUCUCCGGGGGUAGAGCACUGUUUCGGCAAGGGGGUCAUCCCGACUUACCAACCCGAUGCAAACUGCGAAUACCGGAGAAUGUUAUCACGGGAGACACACGGCGGGUGCUAACGUCCGUCGUGAAGAGGGAAACAACCCAGACCGCCAGCUAAGGUCCCAAAGUCAUGGUUAAGUGGGAAACGAUGUGGGAAGGCCCAGACAGCCAGGAUGUUGGCUUAGAAGCAGCCAUCAUUUAAAGAAAGCGUAAUAGCUCACUGGUCGAGUCGGCCUGCGCGGAAGAUGUAACGGGGCUAAACCAUGCACCGAAGCUGCGGCAGCGACGCUUAUGCGUUGUUGGGUAGGGGAGCGUUCUGUAAGCCUGCGAAGGUGUGCUGUGAGGCAUGCUGGAGGUAUCAGAAGUGCGAAUGCUGACAUAAGUAACGAUAAAGCGGGUGAAAAGCCCGCUCGCCGGAAGACCAAGGGUUCCUGUCCAACGUUAAUCGGGGCAGGGUGAGUCGACCCCUAAGGCGAGGCCGAAAGGCGUAGUCGAUGGGAAACAGGUUAAUAUUCCUGUACUUGGUGUUACUGCGAAGGGGGGACGGAGAAGGCUAUGUUGGCCGGGCGACGGUUGUCCCGGUUUAAGCGUGUA
This 906-nucleotide ribosomal RNA is filed under the name Escherichia coli. RNAcentral describes it as "partial 23S ribosomal RNA". It matches the Rfam family "Bacterial large subunit ribosomal RNA", at positions 612 to 1522 of the family's 2925-position model. The record is from RNAcentral. Lineage: Bacteria; Pseudomonadati; Pseudomonadota; Gammaproteobacteria; Enterobacterales; Enterobacteriaceae.